CCUACGGGUGGCAGCAGUAGGGAAUUUUCGUCAAUGGGCGCAAGCCUGAACGAGCAAUGCCGCGUGAACGAGGAAGGUCUUCGGAUCGUAAAGUUCUGUUGAAGGGGAAAAAGAGCGGAGAGAGGAAAUGAACUCCGAUUGAUAUUACCCUUCGAGGAAGUCCCGGCUAACUACGUGCCAGCAGCCGCGAUAAUACGUGGGUGGCGGGCGUUAUCCGGAAUGAUUGGGCGUAAAGGGUGCGUAGGCGGCCUGCUAAGUCUGGAGUGAAAGGUACCGGCUCAACCGGUAUAGGCUCUGGAAACUGGCGGGCUAGAGAGCAGGAGAGGGCGGUGGAACUCCAUGUGUAGCGGUAAAAUGCGCAGAUAUAUGGAAGAACACCAGUGGCGAAGGCGGCCGCCUGGCCUGUUGCUGACGCUGAGGCACGAAAGCGUGGGGAGCAAAUAGGAUUAGAUACCCCUGUAGUC
Molecule: ribosomal RNA, 464 nt
Filed under: uncultured bacterium
Lineage: Bacteria
Description: partial 16S ribosomal RNA
Rfam family: Bacterial small subunit ribosomal RNA
Source: RNAcentral